GCUCGUCGCUCUCAUCCAUCAACCGCGCUGCAAAUGGCCUCAGAAACUUAUAUGAGAGCAUCGAUGAUUUGCUUCUCUUGCCUCACAUUCAGCAGAUCGUUUCUGAGGAGUGUGUUGAUAAUUACAUCAGCCUAUUGGAUGCUAGCAGCUCAGUUAAGGAUCUCAUCUCACUCGUGAAGGAAGAUCUACGAGAGCUUCUCUCUGCUGUAAGGAGAAAGGAUGCUCGAGGCAUAAACGGCUACCUUGCUUUAAGAAAGCAGUCGAAGAAAAAGAUCCAAAAGUGUUUGAAGAAGUUGAGACGUAGCAGCGCCUCAGCCUUUUCUGAGAAUGUUUCCAUGUUGAAAGAUGCAGAGUCAGUUGCCAUUUCCUUGCUCGAGUCUCUCUUGUCCUACACGUUGGGGAUGACAAUGCAAGAAAGCAUCAGACGACGAGAAUGAGUUCAACAAGGUGGAUUCAUUCCUGCAACUGAAUCAAGAAAACGAGCUCGUGAAUCACUUGAAAGAGAUGGACUCGAGCAUUCAAGUUGUUGAAGAAGAACUUGAAUCGGUAUUCAGGCAGAUGAUCAAGACCAGACUUUCCCUUCUCAACAUUCUCAACAACUAGAGAUUGAAAAUUUUGUAACUAGUACAUGAAUAUAUAUACUUGUAUAUAUCAAAUUGAUUCACAAGGAUCAUUACAAUACAAUCAGAAAAUUUUCUGCUACAUUCUUGUUCAAUAUCCUGAUAUUAGUAUAUGCUUAAUUUAUCUAUUCAUUCUUAUUGUUGACUUGAAUAUACAAGAUGACAUAUCAAUACAACAAGAUUUACAGCAUCAUACUAUGUUCAUAACUAACAAGAUUUAUAUCUUACAUGUCUACUAACAAAGUUCUAAUAUUAUCUUAUUCAGUUUGUAAUAAUAUUCUCUCCCUCAUUCUAUAUAAAAUCAACAGCUACAUGACUAUCAAAUCAACAGCUACAAGAUAACUGAGCUCUAAAAUACUAUCUAAACUGAUGUCUUCGACAUUUACAGAAAUCAUCUCAAGGUGAUAUCUAAACUGAUGUCUUCGACAUUCAGUUUGCUACAUUUUCUUUUUCAGUUAACAUAAUUAUUUUAGAUAUUUAAAUGCCUAAUUUAUUCUAAUAGGAGAUAUUCGAAGUUCCCAAAGAUGCAGACCAUUGGAUUUUGUUGUCUAUAGGCAAAAAGAGGAGACAUUGGAAAUCUAGAGUCAAAGGUGGGUCUUUUGUUCCUACAUUAGCGAUCGAGAAUCAGGCCCACAAUAGACCUAUUCGGGUACAUGAAGAUCAGUGGAAGAAUUUGUUAUCAUAUUGGGCAAAAGAAGAUGUACAGGUAUAUAAAUUUUGACGCAUUAGUUUAUUCACAUAUUAUUCAACUAACUUCUAGUUUUCAGGAAAUAAGUGAUAAAAAUAGAGAUCAUAGAAAGUGUUCUUCUAUGCAACAAACUACUGGAAAGAUAAGUUUUGCCGAAGUUGAGGAAGAGUUGGUAUGAUUUUAUUUCUUUAUUGUUGAGCUAUUUUACAUUACCAACAAAUGAACGUAUUAGCAUGUUAAUUUCUUUUUGCAGAAAGAAAAAUUGGGUCGAUCCCCAUCACGUGUCGAGAUGUUUGAAGCUUGUUACACUGAUCUCAGUGGUAACCCAUCAUCCGAUGAAGUUGGAGUUGCACUGGUAAGAUUAAAUUUUAAAGAUAGUCAUAAAAAGUCAAGUUUUAUAUGUUAAAACUUACAAGUUAAAUGUUUUUUAUAAACUGACAUGACAGGGAGAAAUGAAAGAAAUUCAAUCUAAAUUUUCAACUGAUUUCCAAGAUUCAGUUGGACCAAGUGACACAUUUUCUAGAGUUAUGGGCAAAGAACCCCGUGGUAGAGUACGAAUGAUUGGUUUAGGUGUUAACCCUUCUGACAUAUCAGGUGGUGUUCCUAGUCGUAGUGAGUGUUAUCGAAUGUUUUUGGAAAAUCAAGAAGCGCUGGUAAGAAUGGAAGAAAAAGUAAACGCAGCGACAACUCUGAUUGCAAGUUUAACAAAAAAAUGCAGCAGAAUACUAGUUUUUCUACAGGACAGCAACCUACAUCUCCGAGUCAGUCGUCCAACUCAGUAAAUAUAGGACACUCUUUUCAGGUAUAUUCUUUUUAUUUUGAGCCUGAUUAAUUUAGUCAUCAAUAAUCAGUUGUUAUAUUAUGGGAGAGAGUUGUGUGCCUGCUUUUAUCAUUAUUUGCUCUCCUACCUCUGUCUUUGCUUUUACUGAUUUUGUUUCCUCCUAAAACUGAGUUUCAGCCCAAUAUAUUGUAGUGUUGGUUGUUGUAAAAGUCAUGUAGCUAUUGAGAUAAAAUAAAUGUUCUAUUAGUGGCUAAUUUAGGACAUGCAUUUCAGGUUGGGGAUGAGGUGCUUUUGAAAAGCUUAUUCAAUUCUAGAAAAGCUGUGGCAAAAGGUCGUAUUCGUAGUGUUGAUCCAAAUCAAGAAGUUGGAGGAAAACGACUUGGACUACAAUGGUGUGAAGUUCAAGUUUCAGUUCCAAUAGAAUGGGAUGAAGAACUAAUUAGGCCGUAUUCGAAUUUGUCUACAAUUGGAGACGCAAUCGGAACAUGCGUUGCAUGGCCUCACCACUUGGUAAUCAUCUUUAUUUGUCUAUGUUGUUGAUUAUGUUGGUAUGCUUGUUCUAUUUUAAAAUAUAAUUGAUAGCAUUGCCAAGAAAAUGCACCUGUAUUUUUUGUUGCAGCAGAUAGCAGUUAACAUAUUUCAACACCACAAAAUUGACAUUUAAUAUUCCAGUUAACAUGUUGUUAUCUCUGUCUCCUUCAUCACAACCAUACAGUACUUCUCCCAAUUUGUCUACAAUUCUAAUGAUUUUUUCUCUUACAAAUUUAGGUGAAAGCCGAUGAUUUGGAUUGAUGAGAUGCUGAAAUAGCUUUAAAAGUGAAGCCUAGCUAGAGGUCUCAUUCUAAAAGAAAGUGAACUGAUGAGCAGAAACUCAUUCUAAAACAAUUGAUAUCAAUAUAGACAAUAUGUAAUAAGCUUUUUACUCAUGAUUGAGUAGCUAUUCCUUCAACAGAAUAUUCAUUAGUGAUGUUUGAAAUUUUAGAUUUGAAAUAAAGCAUUUUAUAUUGGGAUUGAUCUCAUAUUUUAAAAGCAUUAGUUAUAACAUUAUUUCCAUAUUAUAAUUGUAUUUUAAAAGCCUACUAGCAUCCUAAAAUAAGGGACUGCAAUCAUCCCAGAAUAGGACAGAAAAAAAAGUCCUAUUAUGUAUUUUGUGGUAAACCUUUAAUAGGACUCUCCUGAGUGUCCUAAACUAAGUGUCCCAGAAUAGGACAUGCGCAUGCGUCCUAUUACACAUAUUGUGACUAGCGCAGAUAGGACUCAUUUCGGGAGAGUCCUAUACGAGGGAAAGUCCUAUUAUAUUGCAUAAUAGGACACUUAUGAGAGUCCUAUAAAGAGAUUUUUGUUGUAGUGCCUGAAAUAACAUGCAUCAAUCAAGUAUAGUCGGGUGAUUUCUUCUUCACAUCACAAGCACAUUUCCAAAAGUGGAAACAUAUAAGAAUAACCCAUUUGUUAAAGUUUGCUACACUACAUACCAACUUUCUGAAAUUGAUACACUAGCUACCCUUUUUAAUUUUUUGUCAUUUAUUAAUUGUAAAUCAAAUUAUUUCAAGUACAAUAUGGAUAUCAGCUGUAAAUAUACAAGUCCUAUGAGAAAACAAAGAAUAGCGAAGUUGCAAAAAGCAAGCAGUAACAUAUAAGAUGAAGGCAUGAGUUCUUACUUCAGUGGCAGCUAGUUUCUUUACAUC
This 3774-nucleotide long non-coding RNA is filed under the name Salvia miltiorrhiza (redroot sage). RNAcentral's name for it is "long non-coding RNA (SMIL_LNC006747)". Lineage: Eukaryota; Viridiplantae; Streptophyta; Magnoliopsida; Lamiales; Lamiaceae. The record is from RNAcentral.